GCCGCCUUAGCUCAGUCGGUCAGAGCGACGCACUCGUAAUGCGUAGGUCGUGAGUUCGAUUCUCACAGGCGGCU
RNAcentral lists this transfer RNA (74 nucleotides) under Micromonospora globbae. It matches the Rfam family "tRNA". Rfam says of the family: Transfer RNA (tRNA) molecules are approximately 80 nucleotides in length. Their secondary structure includes four short double-helical elements and three loops (D, anti-codon, and T loops). The record is from Rfam by way of RNAcentral. Lineage: Bacteria; Bacillati; Actinomycetota; Actinomycetes; Micromonosporales; Micromonosporaceae.